AACGCACAUUGCGCCCGCCAGUAUUCUGGCGGGCAUGCCUGUUCGAGCGUCAUUUCAACCCUCAGACUCAAUUCGUUAGAAGGACAGUCUGGUGUUGGGGAUCGGCAGCUUCGCCGUCCCCUAAAAGUAUUGGCGGCCCUUCGAGGCGACCUCUGCGUAGUAACUUACCUCGCACUGGGAAGCUUGGAGCGGCCACGCCGUAAAACCCCCGACUUUACAAGGUUGACCUCGAAUCAGGUAGGACUACCCGCUGAACUUAA
This 260-nucleotide unclassified non-coding RNA is filed under the name uncultured fungus. RNAcentral describes it as "sequence contains ITS2". The stretch from base 1 to 52 matches the Rfam family "5.8S ribosomal RNA", at positions 103 to 154 of the family's 154-position model. The record is from RNAcentral. Lineage: Eukaryota; Fungi.